GUACACUCCAAACUUGCAAUUCUGCUCAUUUUGUUUGCCCUCUCAAAGGGCUGUAAACUUUUUGAUGAGGGUAGCAGAGACAAAAAAGUACCCUUUAAACUUUGAUGGUACCUUCUUGUCACACAAAUUGUUGGAUGCAAGUCCACUUCAUUCAUGCUUGAUCUCCCAUUCCCUUGGAUCAAAGACGUCAUAUACUCAAAUACUUCUCUCUUGGGGAUAACUUGAGCACCAAGCUUCACAACAACAUGUCAAUCGUAGAGGCUUCACCAAAUGAACAUGAACAAAAUAAGAAGAGAUCGAGUUAUGUCUUUUAUCUCAGACUUGUCGCUG
This 330-nucleotide unclassified non-coding RNA is filed under the name Hevea brasiliensis (rubber tree). Lineage: Eukaryota; Viridiplantae; Streptophyta; Magnoliopsida; Malpighiales; Euphorbiaceae. The record is from RNAcentral.